AACGAACGCUGGCGGCAUGCCUAACACAUGCAAGUCGAACGAGACCUUCGGGUCUAGUGGCGCACGGGUGCGUAACGCGUGGGAACCUGCCCUUAGGUUCGGAAUAACUCCCCGAAAGGGGUGCUAAUACCGGAUAAUGUCUUCGGACCAAAGAUUUAUCGCCUUUGGAUGGGCCCGCGUUGGAUUAGCUAGUUGGUAGGGCAAAAGCCUACCAAGGCGACGAUCCAUAGCUGGUCUGAGAGGAUGAGCAGCCACACUGGGACUGAGACACGGCCCAGACUCCUACGGGAGGCAGCAGUGGGGAAUAUUGGACAAUGGGCGAAAGCCUGAUCCAGCAAUGCCGCGUGAGUGAUGAAGGCCUUAGGGUUGUAAAGCUCUUUUACCCGGGAUGAUAAUGACAGUACCGGGAGAAUAAGCUCCGGCUAACUCCGUG
RNAcentral lists this ribosomal RNA (433 nucleotides) under uncultured bacterium. Its description in RNAcentral is "partial 16S ribosomal RNA". It matches the Rfam family "Bacterial small subunit ribosomal RNA", at positions 29 to 507 of the family's 1533-position model. The record is from RNAcentral.